GUUAAUGUAGCUUACAUAAAGUGUGGCACUGAAAAUGCUAAGACAGAUUUUUAAACAUCUCAUGAACA
RNAcentral lists this transfer RNA (68 nucleotides) under Paramesotriton aurantius. Its description in RNAcentral is "tRNA-Phe". It matches the Rfam family "tRNA". From Rfam's summary of the family: Transfer RNA (tRNA) molecules are approximately 80 nucleotides in length. Their secondary structure includes four short double-helical elements and three loops (D, anti-codon, and T loops). Lineage: Eukaryota; Metazoa; Chordata; Amphibia; Caudata; Salamandridae. The record is from RNAcentral.